UACGUAGGGUGCAAGCGUUAAUCGGAAUUACUGGGCGUAAAGCGUGCGCAGGCGGUUUUGUAAGUCUGAUGUGAAAUCCCCGGGCUCAACCUGGGAAUUGCAUUGGAGACUGCAAGGCUAGAAUCUGGCAGAGGGGGGGUAGAGUUCCACGUGUAGCAGUGAAAUGCGUAGAGAUGUGGAGGAACACCGAUGGCGAAGGCAGCCCCCUGGGUCAAGAUUGACGCUCAUGCACGAAAGCGUGGGGAGCAAACAGG
Molecule: ribosomal RNA, 254 nt
Filed under: uncultured Janthinobacterium sp.
Lineage: Bacteria; Pseudomonadati; Pseudomonadota; Betaproteobacteria; Burkholderiales; Oxalobacteraceae
Description: partial 16S ribosomal RNA
Rfam family: Bacterial small subunit ribosomal RNA
Source: RNAcentral